UGGGGAAUAUUGGACAAUGGGCGAAAGCCUGAUCCAGCCAUGCCGCGUGUGUGAAGAAGGUCUUCGGAUUGUAAAGCACUUUAAGUUGGGAGGAAGGGCAGUAAGCGAAUACCUUGCUGUUUUGACGUUACCGACAGAAUAAGCACCGGCUAACUCUGUGCCAGCAGCCGCGGUAAUACAGAGGGUGCAAGCGUUAAUCGGAAUUACUGGGCGUAAAGCGCGCGUAGGUGGUUCGUUAAGUUGAAUGUGAAAGCCCCGGGCUCAACCUGGGAACUGCAUCCAAAACUGGCGAGCUAGGGUAGGGCAGAGGGUGGUGGAAUUUCCUGUGUAGCGGUGAAAUGCGUAGAUAUAGGAAGGAACACCAGUGGCGAAGGCGACCACCUGGGCUCAUACUGAAACUGAGGUGCGAAAGCGUGGGGAGCAAACAGG
This 429-nucleotide ribosomal RNA is filed under the name Pseudomonadota bacterium. RNAcentral's name for it is "Proteobacteria bacterium partial 16S ribosomal RNA". It matches the Rfam family "Bacterial small subunit ribosomal RNA", at positions 355 to 776 of the family's 1533-position model. Lineage: Bacteria; Pseudomonadati; Pseudomonadota. The record is from RNAcentral.